This 2889-nucleotide ribosomal RNA is filed under the name Streptococcus dysgalactiae subsp. equisimilis. Its description in RNAcentral is "23S ribosomal RNA". It matches the Rfam family "Bacterial large subunit ribosomal RNA". Lineage: Bacteria; Bacillati; Bacillota; Bacilli; Lactobacillales; Streptococcaceae. The record is from RNAcentral.
UCAAGUGAAGAAGCGCAUACGGUGGAUGCCUUGGCAGUCAGAGGCGAUGAAAGACGUGGUAGCCUGCGAUAAGCUUCGGGAGUCGGCAAACAGACUUUGAUCCGGAGAUCUCUGAAUGGGGGAACCCACCUAGGAUAACCUAGGUAUCUUGUACUGAAUCCAUAGGUGCAAGAGGCGAACCAGGGGAACUGAAACAUCUAAGUACCCUGAGGAAAAGAAAUCAACCGAGAUUCCCUUAGUAGUGGCGAGCGAACGGGGAUUAGCCCUUAAGCUUCAUUGAUUUUAGCGGAACGCUCUGGAAAGUGCGGCCAUAGUGGGUGAUAGCCCCGUACGCGAAAGGAUCUUUGAAGUGAAAUCGAGUAGGACGGAGCACGAGAAACUUUGUCUGAACAUGGGGGGACCAUCCUCCAAGGCUAAAUACUACUGACUGACCGAUAGUGAACCAGUACCGUGAGGGAAAGGCGAAAAGAACCCCGGAGAGGGGAGUGAAAUAGAACCUGAAACCGUAUGCGUACAAGCAGUGGGAGCCUACUUGUUAGGUGACUGCGUACCUUUUGUAUAAUGGGUCAGCGACUUAUAUUCAGUGGCGAGCUUAACCGAAUAGGGUAGGCGUAGCGAAAGCGAGUCUUAAUAGGGCGUUUAGUCGCUGGGUAUAGACCCGAAACCGGGCGAUCUAUCCAUGAGCAGGUUGAAGGUUAGGUAACACUGACUGGAGGACCGAACCCACUCCCGUUGAAAAGGUAGGGGAUGACUUGUGGAUCGGAGUGAAAGGCUAAUCAAGCUCGGAGAUAGCUGGUUCUCCUCGAAAGCUAUUUAGGUAGCGCCUCAUGUAUCACUCUGGGGGGUAGAGCACUGUUUCGGCUAGGGGGUCAUCCCGACUUACCAAACCGAUGCAAACUCCGAAUACCCAGAAGUGCCGAGCAUGGGAGACACACGGCGGGUGCUAACGUCCGUCGUGAAAAGGGAAACAACCCAGACCGCCAGCUAAGGUCCCAAAGUUGUGGUUAAGUGGUAAACGAUGUGGGAAGGCUUAGACAGCUAGGAGGUUGGCUUAGAAGCAGCCAUCCUUUAAAGAAAGCGUAAUAGCUCACUAGUCGAGUCGGCCUGCGCGGAAGAUGUAACGGGGCUCAAACCACACACCGAAGCUGCGGGUGUCACGUAAGUGACGCCGGUAGAGGAGCGUUCUGUAAGCCUGUGAAGGUGAGUUGAGAAGCUUGCUGGAGGUAUCAGAAGUGCGAAUGCUGACAUGAGUAACGACAAUGGGUGUGAAAAACACCCACGCCGAAAGACCAAGGGUUCCUGCGCAACGUUAAUCGACGCAGGGUUAGUCGGUUCCUAAGGCGAGGCUGAAAAGCGUAGUCGAUGGGAAACAGGUUAAUAUUCCUGUACUUCUGGUUACUGCGAUGGAGGGACGGAGAAGGCUAGGCCAGCUUGGCGUUGGUUGUCCAAGUUUAAGGUGGUAGGCUGAAAUCUUAGGUAAAUCCGGGGUUUCAAGGCCGAGAGCUGAUGACGAGUCGUCUUUUAGAUGACGAAGUGGUUGAUGCCAUGCUUCCAAGAAAAGCUUCUAAGCUUCAGGUAACCAGGAACCGUACCCCAAACCGACACAGGUGGUCGGGUAGAGAAUACCAAGGCGCUUGAGAGAACUCGGGUGAAGGAACUAGGCAAAAUGGCACCGUAACUUCGGGAGAAGGUGCGCCGGCUAGGGUGAAGGAUUUACUCCGUAAGCUCUGGCUGGUCGAAGAUACCAGGCCGCUGCGACUGUUUAUUAAAAACACAGCACUCUGCAAACACGAAAGUGGACGUAUAGGGUGUGACGCCUGCCCGGUGCCGGAAGGUUAAUUGAUGGGGUUAGCGCAAGCGAAGCUCUUGAUCGAAGCCCCGGUAAACGGCGGCCGUAACUAUAACGGUCCUAAGGUAGCGAAAUUCCUUGUCGGGUAAGUUCCGACCUGCACGAAUGGCGUAACGAUGGCGGCGCUGUCUCCACCCGAGACUCAGUGAAAUUGAAAUCGCUGUGAAGAUGCAGUGUAUCCGCGGCUAGACGGAAAGACCCCGUGAACCUUUACUGUAGCUUUGCACUGGACUUUGAGCCUGCUUGUGUAGGAUAGGUGGGAGGCUUUGAAGCGUGGACGCCAGUUCGCGUGGAGCCAUCCUUGAAAUACCACCCUGGCAUGCUUGAGGUUCUAACUCUGGUCCGUGAUCCGGAUCGAGGACAGUGUAUGGUGGGCAGUUUGACUGGGGCGGUCUCCUCCUAAAGAGUAACGGAGGAGUACGAAGGUGCGCUCAGACCGGUCGGAAAUCGGUCGCAGAGUAUAAAGGCAAAAGCGCGCUUGACUGCGAGACAGACACGUCGAGCAGGUACGAAAGUAGGUCUUAGUGAUCCGGUGGUUCUGUAUGGAAGGGCCAUCGCUCAACGGAUAAAAGGUACUCCGGGGAUAACAGGCUGAUACCGCCCAAGAGUUCAUAUCGACGGCGGUGUUUGGCACCUCGAUGUCGGCUCAUCACAUCCUGGGGCUGAAGCCGGUCCCAAGGGUAUGGCUGUUCGCCAUUUAAAGUGGUACGCGAGCUGGGUUUAGAACGUCGUGAGACAGUUCGGUCCCUAUCUGCCGUGGACGUUUGAGAUUUGAGAGGGGCUGCUCCUAGUACGAGAGGACCGGAGUGGACGAACCUCUGGUGUUCCGGUUGUCACGCCAGUGGCAUUGCCGGGUAGCUAUGUUCGGAAAAGAUAACCGCUGAAAGCAUCUAAGCGGGAAACUUGCCUCAAGAUGAGAUCUCACUGGGAACUUGAUUCCCCUGAAGGGCCGUCGAAGACUACGACGUUGAUAGGCUGGGUGUGUAAGCGUUGUGAGGCGUUGAGCUAACCAGUACUAAUUGCCCGUGAGGCUUGACCAU